This 119-nucleotide ribosomal RNA is filed under the name Helianthus annuus (common sunflower). Lineage: Eukaryota; Viridiplantae; Streptophyta; Magnoliopsida; Asterales; Asteraceae. The record is from RNAcentral.
GGUUGCGAUCAUACCAGCACUAAUGCACCGGAUCCCAUCAGAACUCCGCAGUUAAGCGUGCUUGGGCGAGAGUAGUACUAGGAUGGGUGACCCCCAUGGAAGUCCUCGUGUUGCAACCC